This 406-nucleotide ribosomal RNA is filed under the name uncultured bacterium. RNAcentral describes it as "partial 16S ribosomal RNA". It matches the Rfam family "Bacterial small subunit ribosomal RNA", at positions 29 to 526 of the family's 1533-position model. The record is from RNAcentral.
AUCGAACGCUGGCGGCAGGCCUAACACAUGCAAGUCGAACGAGUGGCGGAGGGGUGAGGAAUGUAUGGGAAACUGCCUGAUGGAGGGGGAUAACUACUGGAAACGGUAGCUAAAACCGAAUAACAUCAGGUGUGCCGAGAUGGGAUUAGCUUGUUGGUGGGGUAUCGGCUGACCAAGGGGACGAGGCCUAGCAGGGCUGAGCGGAUGACCGGCCACACUGGAACUGCGACACGGUCCUGCCUCCUACGGGAGGCAGCAGUGGUGAAUAUUGCACAAUGGGCGCAAGCCUGAUGCAGCCAUGCCGCGUGUAUGAAGAAGGCCUUCAGGUUGUAAAGUACUUUCAGCGGGGCGGCGUUACCCGCAGAAGAAGCACCGGCUAACUCCGUGCCAGCAGCCGCGGUAAUUC